Molecule: ribosomal RNA, 461 nt
Filed under: uncultured bacterium
Lineage: Bacteria
Description: bacterial SSU rRNA
Rfam family: Bacterial small subunit ribosomal RNA
Source: RNAcentral
CCUACGGGAGGCUGCAGUCGAGAAUCUUCGUCAAUGGGCGAAAGCCUGAACGAGCGACGCCGCGUGUGGGAUGAAGGCCCUUGGGUUGUAAACCACUGACGAGGGGGAUGAAGGCAUUCAGGUCCUCCUGAAUGUUUGACAGAGCCCUGGAGGAAGCACGGGCUAAGUUCGUGCCAGCAGCCGCGGUAAUACGAACUGUGCGAACGUUAUUCGGAAUCACUGGGCUUACAGGGUGCGUAGGCGGCUUUUCAGGUCAGGUGUGAAAGCCCCCGGCUCAACCGGGGAACUGCGCUUGAAACCGAAAGGCUCGAGUCAGCUAGAGGUACACGGAACUUCCAGUGGAGCGGUGAAAUGUGUUGAUAUUGGAAGGAACACCGGAGGCGAAAGCGGUGUACUGGGGCUGGUCUGACGCUGAGGCACGAAAGCCAGGGGAGCGAACGGGAUUAGAUACCCCGGUAGUC